Sphaerodactylus townsendi is the source of this 263-nucleotide long non-coding RNA. RefSeq lists it as uncharacterized. The record is from RefSeq and is a predicted model, not a curated record. NCBI's taxonomy places the organism in Eukaryota, Metazoa, Chordata, Lepidosauria, Squamata, Sphaerodactylidae. The transcript is spliced from 3 exons.
AACACGGCCAUACAGCCUGGAAACCACACAGCACCCAAUUGAAAAUGAUGCUGUUUGGGGUGGGGAUAUCUACCCCCCGAAAGCAAAGCAUCACUUUCAAUGCGUUAGUUUAAACCUUAGGGAGCCCAGAGUACCCCUCUUAAGGUGGAUUUAAAAGGAGAAUCUGGGCUUUGUAGAAGCUUAAACAAUAUUAAAAGUGAUGCUGUUUCAGGGUGGAUUUCCCGCGUUCAAAAAAUAGCAUCACUUUCAAUGUUGUUUAAACU